GAUGAACGCUGGCGGCGUGCCUAAUACAUGCAAGUCGAGCGAACAGACGAGGAGCUUGCUCCUCUGACGUUAGCGGCGGACGGGUGAGUAACACGUGGAUAACCUACCUAUAAGACUGGGAUAACUUCGGGAAACCGGAGCUAAUACCGGAUAAUAUAUUGAACCGCAUGGUUCAAUAGUGAAAGACGGUUUUGCUGUCACUUAUAGAUGGAUCCGCGCCGGAUUAGCUAGUUGGUGAGGAAACGGCUUACCAAGGCGACGAUGCGUAGCUGACCUGAGAGGAUGAUGAGUCACACUGGAACGGAGACACGGUCGCGACUCCUGCGGGAGGCAGCAGUGGGGAAUAGUGGACAAUGGGCGAAAGCCUGAUACAGCUAUGCCGCGGGAGUGACGAAGGUCUUCGGAUUGUAAAGCACUUUAAGGUGGGAGGAAGGGAAGUAAGUGAAUACCUUGCUGUUUUGACGUUACCAAAAGAAUAAGCAACGGCUAACUUCGUG
This 497-nucleotide ribosomal RNA is filed under the name uncultured bacterium. Its description in RNAcentral is "partial 16S ribosomal RNA". It matches the Rfam family "Bacterial small subunit ribosomal RNA", at positions 28 to 507 of the family's 1533-position model. The record is from RNAcentral.